GUUAGUAUAGUUUAACAAAAACAUUAGGCCGUGGUCCUAAAAACAGAAGCUAAAAACUUCUUACAAACC
This 69-nucleotide transfer RNA is filed under the name Urosaurus ornatus. RNAcentral describes it as "tRNA-His". It matches the Rfam family "tRNA". Rfam says of the family: Transfer RNA (tRNA) molecules are approximately 80 nucleotides in length. Their secondary structure includes four short double-helical elements and three loops (D, anti-codon, and T loops). Further hydrogen bonds mediate the characteristic L-shaped molecular structure. tRNAs have two regions of fundamental functional importance: the anti-codon, which is responsible for specific mRNA codon recognition, and the 3' end, to which the tRNAs corresponding amino acid is attached (by aminoacyl-tRNA synthetases). tRNAs cope with the degeneracy of the genetic code in two manners: having more than one tRNA (with a specific anti-codon) for a particular amino acid; and 'wobble' base-pairing, i.e. permitting non-standard base-pairing at the 3rd anti-codon position. Lineage: Eukaryota; Metazoa; Chordata; Lepidosauria; Squamata; Phrynosomatidae. The record is from RNAcentral.